UGGGGAAUUGUUCGCAAUGGGCGCAAGCCUGACGACGCAACGCCGCGUGGAGGAUGAAGACCUUCGGGUCGUAAACUCCUUUCGACCGAGAAGAAUGGCUCCCGACCUAAUACGUCGGGAGCAUGACGGUAUCGAGGGAAGAAGCCCCGGCUAACUCUGCGCCAGCAGCCGCGGUAAUACAGGGGGGGCAAGCGUUGUUCGGAAUUACUGGGCGUAAAGGGUUCGUAGGUGGCCAACUAAGUCAGACGUGAAAUCCCUCAGCUUAACUGGGGAACUGCGUCUGAUACUGGAUGGCUUGAGUGCAGGAGAGGAAUGCGGAAUUCCAGGUGUAGCGGUGAAAUGCGUAGAUAUCUGGAGGAACACCGGUGGCGAAGGCGGCAUUCUGGACUGCAACUGACACUGAGGAACGAAAGCCAGGGGAGCAAA
RNAcentral lists this ribosomal RNA (426 nucleotides) under uncultured bacterium. Its description in RNAcentral is "bacterial SSU rRNA". It matches the Rfam family "Bacterial small subunit ribosomal RNA", at positions 355 to 772 of the family's 1533-position model. The record is from RNAcentral.